Molecule: transfer RNA, 78 nt
Filed under: Synechococcus phage B23
Lineage: Duplodnaviria; Heunggongvirae; Uroviricota; Caudoviricetes; Pantevenvirales; Kyanoviridae
Also listed under: 1 other name
Description: tRNA-Met
Rfam family: tRNA
About the family: Transfer RNA (tRNA) molecules are approximately 80 nucleotides in length.
Source: RNAcentral
UGCGGAAAAGUGUAUUGGUUGCACACUGGGCUCAUAACCCAGAGGUAGUCUCAAACGGUUCGAUUCCUACUUCCGCCA